Small nuclear RNA from Callithrix jacchus (white-tufted-ear marmoset), 107 nucleotides. The record is from Ensembl. NCBI's taxonomy places the organism in Eukaryota, Metazoa, Chordata, Mammalia, Primates, Cebidae.
GUGCUCACUUUGGCAGCAUAGCUACUAAAAUUGGAAUGAUACAGAGAAGAUUAGUAUGUCCCUUGCACAAGGAUGACAUGCAAAUUUGUGAAGUGUUCUACAUUUUU